This 850-nucleotide ribosomal RNA is filed under the name uncultured bacterium. RNAcentral's name for it is "bacterial SSU rRNA". It matches the Rfam family "Bacterial small subunit ribosomal RNA", at positions 58 to 916 of the family's 1533-position model. The record is from RNAcentral.
CAAGUCGAACGGGAUCCAUGAUGUAGCAAUACAUCGGAAGAUCUAGUGGCGAACGGGUGAGGAUCACGUGAGAAACCUGCCCCAGACUCUGGGAUAACAAUUGGAAACGAUUGCUAAUACCGGAUGACGUCGGAGAACCGCAUGGUUCACUGACGAAAGAUAUUUCGGUUUGGGAGGGUCUCGCGGCCUAUCAGCUUGUUGGUGGGGUAAUGGCCUACCAAGGCAACGACGGGUAGCUGGUCUGAGAGGAUGAUCAGCCACACUGGGACUGAGACACGGCCCAGACUCCUACGGGAGGCAGCAGUGGGGAAUCUUGCGCAAUGGGCGAAAGCCUGACGCAGCAACGCCGCGUGCGGGAUGAAGGCCUUCGGGCUGUAAACCGCUUUCAGCAGGAACGAAAAUGACGGUACCUGCAGAAGAAGGAGCGGCCAACUACGUGCCAGCAGCCGCGGUGACACGUAGGCUCCAAGCGUUGUCCGGAUUUAUUGGGCGUAAAGAGCUCGUAGGCGGUUUAGUAAGUCGGGUGUGAAAACUCUGGGCUUAACCCGGAGACGCCAUCCGAUACUGCUAUGACUUGAGUUCAGGAGGGGAGCGGGGAAUUCCUAGUGUAGCGGUGAAAUGCGCAGAUAUUAGGAGGAACACCGGUGGCGAAGGCGCCGCUCUGGACUGAAACUGACGCUGAGGAGCGAAAGCAUGGGUAGCAAACAGGAUUAGAUACCCUGGUAGUCCAUGCCGUAAACGGUGGGCACUAGGUGUGGGUUCCAACUAACGGGAUCCGCGCCGUCGCUAACGCAUUAAGUGCCCCGCCUGGGGAGUACGGUCGCAAGACUAAAACUCAAGGAAUUGACGG